This 587-nucleotide ribosomal RNA is filed under the name Svenartia spungisi. RNAcentral's name for it is "eukaryotic LSU rRNA". It matches the Rfam family "Eukaryotic large subunit ribosomal RNA", at positions 402 to 812 of the family's 3401-position model. The record is from RNAcentral. Lineage: Eukaryota; Metazoa; Arthropoda; Insecta; Diptera; Cecidomyiidae.
AAACCGCUUAGGGGUUAAGCCCGAUGAACCCGAAUAUCUGAUGUGAGAAAUUCAAUAUUGUUUAUGUUAUUUUUUAAAUGAUAUGAAUAGUAUGCACUUUUCUCAUAGUAAGACAUUGUAAUCCAUUGAUGCUAUAUCUUUCUGAGAUGAUCUAACAUACGAACAAAAUGAAAAUGCUUAUUCUAUCUGUGAUGUGCUUACAUAUCAUACGAAUAAAAUUCGUUUUGUAUCUGUUUAGAUAGUCGAUGGAUUGAAUGAAAGUCAUGCUUGCAAUUUAUUUGCGUUUCGUAUUGUCAAUUUUUAAUUGAUAGUAGCAGAAAUGGCAUGUACUUGAUUAACAAUGCGAUAGAUUUGGGAUGCCCUCGGGACCCGUCUUGAAACACGGACCAAGGAGUUCAACAUAUGUGCAAGUCACUGGGUAUUUUGUUGAAACCUAAUGGCGUAAUUAAAAUGACUAUAUUUUAAUUUGGGAUCAAAUGUUUUGUUCAAAUUUUUGCAUUACUUUUCAAUCCCGGGGCGUUCUAUACGAACAUGAUAUAAGCAAUUAUGUCCUCUGUUCAAGAGCGUACCUUGAGCACAUAUGCUGU